GACGUAGGAAGCAAGCGUUGUCCGGAAUUACUGGGCGUAAAGGGUGCGUAGGCGGGAAAUUAAGUUAAGUGUGAAAGCCUUGGGCUUAACCCAAGAAAUGCACUUGAUACUGGUUUUCUAGAGUGUAGGAGAGGUAAGUGGAAUUCCUAGUGUAGCGGUAAAAUGCGUAGAGAUUAGGAGGAACAUCAGAGGCGAAGGCGGCUUACUGGACUAUAACUGACGCUGAGGCUCGAAAGCGUGGGGAGCGAACAGG
Molecule: ribosomal RNA, 253 nt
Filed under: uncultured bacterium
Lineage: Bacteria
Description: partial 16S ribosomal RNA
Rfam family: Bacterial small subunit ribosomal RNA
Source: RNAcentral